RNAcentral lists this ribosomal RNA (264 nucleotides) under uncultured archaeon. Its description in RNAcentral is "partial 16S ribosomal RNA". It matches the Rfam family "Archaeal small subunit ribosomal RNA", at positions 717 to 982 of the family's 1478-position model. The record is from RNAcentral.
ACACGACUACAUUAGAUACCCGGGUAGUCCUAGCCGUAAACGAUACUCGCUAGGUGUCGGCCACGGUGCGACCGUUGUCGGUGCCGUAGGGAAGCCGUGAAGCGAGCCACCUGGGAAGUACAGCCGCAAGGCUGAAACUUAAAGGAAUUGGCGGGGAGCACAACAACGGGUGGAGCUUGCGGUUUAAUUGGAUUCAACGCCGGAAAUCUUACCGGGACCGACAGCAACAUGAAGGCCAAGCUGAAGACUUUGCCGGAUUAGCUG